GAUGUGAAGAAAUGGAGGAGACAGAACCAGAGCUUCUAGAAACCAAGAGGACAUAUGACAGCCCCUAAGGGAAAGCAGACCUGUCCCAGAAUUUGCCCAAUCUCCCAGUGAGUCAACUACUCAAACUCAUCAAGAAAGAUCCUCUUUCAUUGCAACCUCGGUCUUGCUUGCCCCGCGGGUCGGAGCGACUGCAGUGCCGCCUCCGGCCGGCAGAGGUCAACGUGCAAGCGAGGACGGCUGGACAGGGCCGCGACUGGAGCCCAGCGGGCGCGCUCACC
Molecule: long non-coding RNA, 278 nt
Filed under: Homo sapiens (human)
Lineage: Eukaryota; Metazoa; Chordata; Mammalia; Primates; Hominidae
Description: HSALNT0334311
Source: RNAcentral